RNAcentral lists this long non-coding RNA (544 nucleotides) under Podarcis muralis (Common wall lizard). RNAcentral's name for it is "lncRNA (ENSPMRG00000007261.1)". Lineage: Eukaryota; Metazoa; Chordata; Lepidosauria; Squamata; Lacertidae. The record is from RNAcentral.
UGGUUUUGGCCAUAUGUGUAGAAAUGCAGCUUUUUUAAGGUAUAUCUUUGGGAUUCUGCCACUGUUCCUAGCUUUGGUACCAGUUGGUUCAUCUGCUUCCAUGAAUGCUUUCCUGAAAAAAUAUGAAAUGUUUCUAUCUUUCAACAUUCGCGUGCUGGAAAACCAGAUUGGACAAAAUGAUGGAUGUAACCGGUCUAACACCAAUAGAGUUUUCUGCAACACAAUGGAGGUGAAUACAACUGGACUAGAAGUGUUCUGCAAUUCAGCUUUGAAGAGAGACAUUCGUGACGUGGCAUGCCAUCUUCAAAAAAUGACCAAGAGAUGUAACUUCACUGAAAGUGUAGAGAAGAACAUGAAUGAGGUUUCCAGUAUGACAUUGGUAAUGCUCAAGGACUGUAACAACAACACUGGUAUAAAACGACAAAGAGGAAACCCAUGUCCAAAUGUAAGAUAUAUCAAAAGGCUCUGUCGUGAAUGUUUGAUAAAGGAUAUAACUUUUCAGUUUAAGUUAUGUUGGGAUCAACUGAUGUCACAUUGGACUUAA